This 253-nucleotide ribosomal RNA is filed under the name uncultured bacterium. RNAcentral's name for it is "partial 16S ribosomal RNA". It matches the Rfam family "Bacterial small subunit ribosomal RNA", at positions 524 to 776 of the family's 1533-position model. The record is from RNAcentral.
UACGAAGGGGGCUAGCGUUGCUCGGAAUCACUGGGCGUAAAGCGCACGUAGGCGGAUUGUUAAGUCAGGGGUGAAAUCCUGGAGCUCAACUCCAGAACUGCCUUUGAUACUGGCGAUCUCGAGUCCGGGAGAAGUGAGUGGAACUGCGAGUGUAGAGGUGAAAUUCGUAGAUAUUCGCAAGAACACCAGUGGCGAAGGCGGCUCACUGGCCCGGUACUGACGCUGAGGUGCGAAAGCGUGGGGAGCAAACAGG